AGGGAUGGCCAAGUAUGGAAGCCC
Molecule: non-coding RNA, 24 nt
Filed under: Arabidopsis thaliana (thale cress)
Lineage: Eukaryota; Viridiplantae; Streptophyta; Magnoliopsida; Brassicales; Brassicaceae
Source: RNAcentral